AGAGUUUGAUCCUGGCUUAGGAUGAACGCUGACAGAAUGCUUAACACAUGCAAGUCUACUUGAUCCUUCGGGUGAAGGUGGCGGACGGGUGAGUAACGCGUAAAGAACUUGCCUUACAGACUGGGACAACAUUUGGAAACGAAUGCUAAUACUGGAUAUUAUGAUUGGGUCGCAUGAUCUGGUUAUGAAAGCUAUAUGCGCUGUGAGAGAGCUUUGCGUCCCAUUAGUUAGUUGGUGAGGUAACGGCUCACCAAGACGAUGAUGGGUAGCCGGCCUGAGAGGGUGAACGGCCACAAGGGGACUGAGACACGGCCCUUACUCCUACGGGAGGCAGCAGUGGGGAAUAUUGGACAAUGGACCAAAAGUCUGAUCCAGCAAAUUCUGUGUGCACGAUGAAGUUUUCGGAAUGUAAAGUGCUUUCAGUUGGGAAGAAGUCAGUGACGGUACCAACAGAAGAAGCGACGGCUAAAUACGUGCCAGCAGCGGC
RNAcentral lists this ribosomal RNA (487 nucleotides) under uncultured bacterium. RNAcentral's name for it is "bacterial SSU rRNA". It matches the Rfam family "Bacterial small subunit ribosomal RNA", at positions 8 to 518 of the family's 1533-position model. The record is from RNAcentral.